Long non-coding RNA from Sinocyclocheilus grahami, 151 nucleotides. RefSeq lists it as uncharacterized. NCBI's taxonomy places the organism in Eukaryota, Metazoa, Chordata, Actinopteri, Cypriniformes, Cyprinidae. The record is from RefSeq and is a predicted model, not a curated record. The transcript is spliced from 4 exons.
GCUAACUCGGGGGAAUCAGGAGAUGAAGGAGGGCUGGACGGGAUCAGCGGAGAUAAAGGAGACUCAGGGGACGAUGGAGAGCUGGACGGGACCAGCGGAGACGAAGGAGAACUUUCUGGAGUGGAUUCUGGGAUUGUUGAUGUCUACUCUU